AACGAACGCUGGCGGCGUGCCUAACACAUGCCAGUCGAACGAAACCUUCGGGUCUAUUGGCGCCCGGGUUCGUCACCCGUGGGGUCAUGCCCUUAUGUUCGGCCUAACUCUCCGAAAGGGGUGCUAAUACCGGAUAAUAUCUUCGGACCGAAGAUAUAUUGCCUUUGUUUGUGCCAGAGUUGGAUUAGCUUGUUGGUAGGGUAAAAGCAUACGACGGCGACGAUCCGUAGAUGGUUUGAGAGGAUGCUCAGCCACACUGGGAUGCGGACACGGCCCAGACUCCUACGGGAGGCGGGAGAGGGGGAUAGAGGAAAAUGGGCGAAAGGCUGAUCCAGCAAGGACGGGAGAGCGAUGAAGGCCUUGGGGUUGUAAAGCGCUAUUACCCAGGAUGAUAAUGACGGUACCGGGAGAAUAAGCCCCGGCUAACUACGUG
Molecule: ribosomal RNA, 433 nt
Filed under: uncultured bacterium
Lineage: Bacteria
Description: partial 16S ribosomal RNA
Rfam family: Bacterial small subunit ribosomal RNA
Source: RNAcentral